This 306-nucleotide long non-coding RNA is filed under the name Setaria italica (foxtail millet). RNAcentral describes it as "long non-coding RNA (SITA_LNC004062)". The record is from RNAcentral. Lineage: Eukaryota; Viridiplantae; Streptophyta; Magnoliopsida; Poales; Poaceae.
GGAUGAGAAGAAGGCCAAGAAGGCUGAGGUGGCGAAAUCUCAGAAGACACAAUCCAAGGGUGGUGCUGCACAGAAGGGUCCUAAAGGCCCGAAGAUCGGCGGUGGCGGUGGGAAGCGCUGAAUAUCAUAGACAUACUAGUACUGUCAACUAGCCUACCCUCCGAUACUAUCUUUAGACCUUGGUCAAGUUAGUCUCGUUUCAGUUGUUGUCACCUUUCCAAUGAGAUUGGCGUGUCCUGAAUGUUUUGGAUUGUUUCGGGAGUUGAUUUACAUUAGCACUUAUCUUUGUUAAUUAUUGUUCAGCAA